UAUCCUAACCGUGCGAAGGUAGCGUAAUCACUUGUUCUUUAAAUGGGGACUAGUAUGAAUGGCAUCACGAGGGUUAUACUGUCUCCCUUUUCUAAUCAGUGAAACUAAUCUCCCCGUGAAGAAGCGGGGAUAAAAAUAUAAGACGAGAAGACCCUAUGGAGCUUUAAAUUUCAAUUCAAAGCAUAAUGAAAUAGAAUUUUAGGUUGGGGUGACCGCGGAGCACAAAACAACCUCCACAUUGAACUAGGCCUACUGCCUUAAGCAACGAAUUACAAUCCAAUGCACAAAAAAAUUUACAUUCAUUGACCCAAUUUUUUUGAUCAACGAACCAAGUUACCCUAGGGAUAACAGCGCAAUCCUCUUCAAGAGCCCAUAUCGCCAAGAGGGUUUACGACCUCGAUGUUGGAUCAGGGUAUCCCAGUGGCGCAGCCGCUACUAAUGGUUCGUUUGUUCAACGAUUAAAACCCUACGUGAUCU
Molecule: ribosomal RNA, 477 nt
Filed under: Scinax constrictus
Lineage: Eukaryota; Metazoa; Chordata; Amphibia; Anura; Hylidae
Description: partial large subunit ribosomal RNA
Rfam family: Bacterial large subunit ribosomal RNA
Source: RNAcentral